CUCAGAUUUCUAUGAUCCAUUUCAUGCUGCAUAUAUUCCCCCUGAAGAAGGUGUUACCAGAACUCCAAAGAAUGUAGAUGAAAAUGAUAUUCUAGGGAAAUACCAACUUUUUAAGAAGUUUGAUACUGUUGAAGAUCAUUCAGAUCAUCGCUAUGUUUCUAAAGGUUCUUCAACUAAGCAGCCACCCAAGAAUUGGUCCAAGAGAGUUCAGGAGGAAUGGAAAAUCCUGGAGAAUGAUUUGCCAGAUACUA
This 251-nucleotide unclassified non-coding RNA is filed under the name Hevea brasiliensis (rubber tree). Lineage: Eukaryota; Viridiplantae; Streptophyta; Magnoliopsida; Malpighiales; Euphorbiaceae. The record is from RNAcentral.